Molecule: transfer RNA, 67 nt
Filed under: Scolytinae sp. BMNH 1274282
Lineage: Eukaryota; Metazoa; Arthropoda; Insecta; Coleoptera; Curculionidae
Description: tRNA-Val
Source: RNAcentral
CAGACUGAAGCUUUGAAAGAAGCAUUUUAUUUACAUUAAAGAGAGUAUUAAAUUUAGUACGGUUUGA